Molecule: non-coding RNA, 85 nt
Organism: Suillus spraguei
Lineage: Eukaryota; Fungi; Basidiomycota; Agaricomycetes; Boletales; Suillaceae
Source: the annotation of a GenBank genome assembly
GCCCUUGUUGUCUAAUGGUUAUGACGUCAGACUUCUACCAUUGAAGCGUAUCUGGAGGUUGCGGGUUCGAGUCCCGCCAGGGGUU